Molecule: RNA transcript, 984 nt
Organism: Bubalus bubalis (water buffalo)
Lineage: Eukaryota; Metazoa; Chordata; Mammalia; Artiodactyla; Bovidae
Gene: ETFB
Gene name: electron transfer flavoprotein subunit beta
Exons: 7
Source: RefSeq, a predicted model, not a curated record
CGUAGAGGAGGGCAGGCGGGACGGGGGCGAGCGGUCAGGGAAGCAGGUGAGGUCGGACCCGGCGGGUCGCCGCGGCAGGAAGAUGGCGGAGCUGCGCGCGCUCGUGGCUGUCAAGAGGGUCAUCGACUUCGCAGUGAAGAUCCGGGUGAAGCCCGACAAGACUGGUGUGGUCACGGAUGGCGUGAAGCAUUCCAUGAACCCCUUCUGUGAGAUCGCCGUGGAGGAGGCUGUGCGGCUCAAGGAGAAGAAGUUGGUGAAGGAAAUCAUUGCCGUCAGCUGCGGGCCUGCCCAGUGCCAGGAGACAAUCCGUACCGCUCUGGCCAUGGGUGCGGACCGGGGCAUCCACGUGGAGGUGCCUGCUGCAGAAGCGAAUCACCUGGGUCCCCUGCAGGUGGCUCGGGUCCUGGCCAAGCUGGCAGAGAAGGAGAAGGUGGACCUGGUGCUGCUGGGAAAGCAGGCCAUCGAUGAUGACUGUAACCAGACAGGGCAGAUGACAGCUGGAUUUCUCGACUGGCCACAGGGCACAUUCGCCUCCCAGGUGACACUGGAAGGGGACAAGAUCAAAGUGGAACGGGAGAUUGAUGGGGGCCUGGAGACUCUGCGCCUGAAGCUGCCUGCCGUGGUGACCGCUGACCUGCGGCUCAAUGAGCCCCGCUAUGCAACAUUGCCCAAUAUCAUGGAGAAUUUAGCAUGUCAUUUCAAGUCAUAAGGAGCAUUCAGUUUGUCAUUUAUCCAACAAGGAAAGUUCAUUGAGUCAUCAUAGCCAAUGGAAAGCCAAGAAGAAGAAGAUCGAGGUGAUUAAGGCAGGGGACCUGGGCGUGGACCUGACCUCCAAGCUCUCCGUGAUUAGCGUGGAAGACCCGCCCCAGCGCACAGCCGGUGUCAAGGUGGAGACCACAGAGGACCUGGUGGCCAAACUGAAGGAGAUUGGGCGCAUCUGAGCCCCUUCCCUGAAACCCAGCAAUAAAGCCGUGACUCUUCCGA